Molecule: non-coding RNA, 463 nt
Organism: Pelobates cultripes (western spadefoot toad)
Lineage: Eukaryota; Metazoa; Chordata; Amphibia; Anura; Pelobatidae
Source: the annotation of a GenBank genome assembly
AUUUCUACAUAUCAAUAUUUUGUAAUAAAAGAAGCAAACAUUUUUCCAAAUAACAUUUAUUUAUUAAAAAUAUUCUCAGUUGUGCAAAAUGCACACUUAUAGCUACAAAACACAUCACAACAGAAUGUUCUGCAGCAUGAAGCAAAUGGUUGGACCUCUCUGUUUUCCUAUCAUGAAUAUUUUCACUGGAGAAAAGUAAGGAUUCCAAUUAAGGAAUGACAUACGGUGAAACUGACUGAUGGACUUAAUGGUAUAGUUUUUUUUUUGUUUUUUUAAAUGUAUUUGGUUGCCAUCAACUGUGGACAUAUACAAUUGGGUGAGUUACCUAUCUGCCUAUCAUGUUGGAAGUCCUUCUGCACAUCAACAUAUGUGCUUUCUGGAGAAACUCUGAGGAUAAUAGAUAUGCUGGAAGAGCAAGACUUGAAAUACAAUUUUUUAAGAGCAAAUAACCAUAAUAUAGAUC